GCCCCAAUAGCUCAGUGGUAGAGCAACCGCUUCGUAAGCGGUAGGCCGUUGGUUCAAAUCCGACUUGGGGCACCA
RNAcentral lists this transfer RNA (75 nucleotides) under Nitrospirillum amazonense. RNAcentral's name for it is "tRNA-Thr". It matches the Rfam family "tRNA". From Rfam's summary of the family: Transfer RNA (tRNA) molecules are approximately 80 nucleotides in length. Lineage: Bacteria; Pseudomonadati; Pseudomonadota; Alphaproteobacteria; Rhodospirillales; Azospirillaceae. The record is from RNAcentral. RNAcentral also lists the same sequence under 8 other names.